UCUUCUUUAAUCUGUUGAGCAAUGGGAAGAACUGGUGGAAAUGGCUAUCGACUGCAAGCGUCGGCUUUGUUGCUACGGGAUUCGUUUCGGCCCUGCAGCUCAUCUAUAAAACCAGGGUGCGUGAGCUGGGAGGAGCAGAGGAGGCUGUUCCCACCACAGCAGCCUCUACGCCCGGUGCGUCUCAGUCCUGAAACGCCUCCAGAAGCCAGAUUUGAUUGGCAGGUGUGACACUGGGGCAACCUGGGCUUCAGCAAUGCUCCUGAGAUGUCACUGACUCAGCAAGUCUUUGUUGUGUGCAGGCUGUGGAUUCACGGCUGAGAAGAGGAUGCUGGGAGAGGCACGCGGCUCCUGCCCUCUUGGGGAGAUGCUGCUUAGUGAGGACAUAGAGAAACACAAGCCAGCAAGCUGCAGCGAUGCCAGGGAGCAGCCACCAGAUAAAGGCACCGGCUGGUUCACUACGUGUGAUGAAUUCAAAAAACAGCCAAGUUUUUAAAAUAGUGAAUACAAGGGACUAUUGUAGGUGUGGACGUUAGGGAAGUCCUCUUCAAAGAGGCCGUAUUAGCUGAGGGCCAAGCUACAGGCAGUGGAUGUGGGUCAAGCAAAGGGAGACAGAAUCCAUGCUGGCACAGGGAAAGAGUCAUAAAGCUCCAGCGGAAAAAGAAAAACAAAGCAGUCUGGAGACGUUGGAAGGCCGGAAAGAGCUUCUAGCCGGGGAGAAACAGCAGUGCAGCGAGUGUCUUGAAGGACCCUCGUGGAGACACAAACCCGGCAGACGGAGGGGGAGCAUGCAGCAGCCGUGAGCUUGAAGGAGCCACAGCCCGUCCCUGCUCACGGAGACAGAAAUGUUGCUUAGGGGCUAAAAUCCUAGACCACGGAGGCCAGCAGCCAGGGUCCCACGUGCGAGAGGGUCCCGGAACUGUUGGUGGCAUCGAAGCCACGGUGGACAUUCAGAUUCCAGGGGACGUCACAGCCUCACCAGGUGCUGUUUUCUCCCAUCAGGACCAAAUUGACGGCUGUUCUUGAAGGGAAGAGCGUGCGCGGGAAGUUCAGGAGCAGGUUCUUCCCAGGCUGCUCCUUGGAAAAGCUACGUUGCUUUGCCUUUUUCCUUCACACGUGUAACCGCCACGUGCCUGUAGUAACUCACAAUGGCCCCAGGGGCUGCGGCAUGUAACAUUAUCAAUGGAUGCUCUGCAUCUGUGCAGUUCUUCCCGAAGGUUCUGCCCUGAAAGGACAUUUCCACAGUCCGUCCUUGCAGGUGGCAUGUGCACCUGCUUCCUGGAGAUGAGGCUUCUGGGAACUGUUCUCAUUCAGCUCUGGCACUGUCGCCUUCACAUUUAUCAGCCAUCCAAAGAGCAUUUCAAAAAAUUUCCUGGAAAACGGGAUUAAAGGAGAAUUUUAUUUUGGUGCAAGUAAUUCCGAAAUCAGUGCAGAGUGUUAUUCACAGUAUACAUUUUCCAUGAGCUUUUUGAAGACCUCUUGUACUACGUGUUAAGCAUAAGAAACACACACCUGCCUCAUCUUAUUUGAUCCCUAUUGAAUCCAAGGGAACUGAACUCAUGGAGCCGAUUUCUAGGACAGGAGAGGGAAAAUCCCAGUCUUGGACCCUGAAACCCGUUCUCCUCUAACAUCAGGUGGUCCUGUUCUCUUUCUCCCGCUGGGGUGAGGCUGCCCUGUUCCUUAGACCCCAGGUCCUCCAUGUUACAGUCACUGAGGCAGGGCGAGGUUGUGGUCAGCUAUGAAACUCAGAGCAAAGAGCUGAAAACUCAAGGACACCCAAUUCCUCUUGCCAAAAUAGGUAACUUCCGAAGACGCUCACCAAAUUUACCUGUGUUAAAAACAUACAGCUCUUCUUUUUCUCUCAAUGAAUUUUAUUUAACUUAAAAAAUAUUUGAAGGGCUUGUGCUGUGGUAUAGUGAGUGGAGCUGCAGCCUGCGGUGGCGGCGGCUGGCAUCCUAUAUGGGCGCUGGUUCAAGUCCCAGCUGCUCCACUUCUGAUCCAGCUCUCUGCUGGUGCACCUUGGAAUGCAGUGGAAGGUGGCCCAAGUGCUUGGACCCCUGCACCCACGUGGGAGACCUGGAAGAAGCUCCUGGCUCCUGGCUCCUGGCUUCGGAUUGGUCCAGCUCUGGCUGCUGCAGUUCAUUUGGGGAGUGAACCAGUGGAUGGAAGAUCUCUCUCUCUCUCUCUCUUUCUCUCUCUCACCCUCUCUCUAUAACUCUGCCUUUCAAAUAAAAUAAAUAAAUCUUUUAAAUAAAUAUUUGAA
This is a long non-coding RNA of Oryctolagus cuniculus (rabbit), 2260 nucleotides long. NCBI's taxonomy places the organism in Eukaryota, Metazoa, Chordata, Mammalia, Lagomorpha, Leporidae. The record is from Ensembl.